Long non-coding RNA from Misgurnus anguillicaudatus (oriental weatherfish), 7233 nucleotides. RefSeq lists it as uncharacterized. NCBI's taxonomy places the organism in Eukaryota, Metazoa, Chordata, Actinopteri, Cypriniformes, Cobitidae. The record is from RefSeq and is a predicted model, not a curated record.
GCUCUGUCCAAUAUUUACCCAACAUGGGUCAAUAAUAACCCAGCAAUUUUUAAAGGCUCCAGGAAUGGUUUUAAUAAAAUCUGCAUUUAUGCUAUAGGAAAUAAAAUGAAAAGGACACAGUACCUAAAUCAGCAAUUAUAUGUUAUAUGAUGUGUAAAUAUGUUGAGAUGGCAGAAUGAUAAAUGACAGAAAAACAUUUAAAUGUAGUAAAUGAGUUUCAAAUAUUACAAUUAGCAGUAUAAUGCACCCAGUCUACCAAAAUUGAAAACAUUAUCAAUGGUUAAUUUGCUGCCAUUAUAAGCAUAAGGAUGAAACAGCAGUAUGUCUGAGCAAAUGUAAUACAGUUUAAGGUUACUCAUAUGUUGUUACUCAACAUUUAUGACACUUACAUUAGGGGCCAUGUGUUUGCAGCAACUAUGGUGAUGGUGGCAUGCACCUGAGAGCCCAAAUGUUAACUGUUUAUUUAUGAGAAGGCAAAUUUGUGACUAUUAAUGACAGUUUGUCUGCAUCCCUUUAAUUGUAAUAUUAAAUAUGAACAUAUUAAAAAAAAGCAUUCAUAAUAUAAAUAUAAGUUUUAUCAUCUUAAUUGUAUAGUUAACUUUAAGCAUGCUCUUUUGAUGUGGAACCAUGCAGAACAGGUAAGGAUAACAAAGACUGACAUAUAGGAUUAAGGAGACCAAUGCACAGCCUCAAGUUGUUUGUUUGUGAGACCACAAUUUACACAACUUUUAAGUACUUCAUCUAAUACAUAUUAGAUGUUUAAGGCUAUUUUAGUGGAUGCAUGUAGUUCCCCUCAAGUUCCCACAUUUGCCUACACUAUAUAUACAAUAAAAUUCAAUAAGUUUUUUUUUACUUUAACUUAACAAAUUAAUUAAGUGAAGUAAUUUUAACUUGUUUAUAAGUUAUGUCAAGUAUUUUUUAAGUCAACAACUUUUGUUUUGUUCAAAGCCUGUGCUAUAUCGUUUUUUUUAAUAAAUAUUUAUUUGCUUGCUAUGUUGUUGUAAUUAAUGUUUUGUCUUUUUAUGCAUAACGACUAAGCUUACGUCUGUGUUCUAGCGAGUGCAGAAUUUAUGAAUACAGUUAAACGUCCCGUUAAAACUCAUACUGUUGCGCACCGAGGCUUUCACUCCAUAGCAAGUGAGUCUGACUCUGCCAGAACACUGCAGGUCAAUGCAGACUAACUGUUUUGAAUGACCGUAUCACAUUUGCCACAACAGUAGCCUAUAGCUACUGUGACACGUGCUGAUCAUGACGCACAGGCUAAGAUCAUACAGCUGAAUACGCAAUAUGUGCGCUUGUGAAUGUUGUGAAUCAGUGAAAUUCUUUAAUGUUAAAUGUAUGAGAUUUAGUUGAUUAUAAUAUUACGCUUGUUCUUAAUGUAUUAGUUUACUGUUACAUGUAAAAUAAACUUUUCUUAUAACUUUUCCUAUAACCAAUUUUGUGCGUAAAUCCAGACACUAAAUUAUGCAACAGUUUAUGCUACAAUAUGGCGUUUUAGCCUAAAUAUGCACUGUUAAUAUUUUAAUUAUGUUCAUAACCCAUAUGCAGUGUCUAAAGCUGCAUACAUUCUGUAGAUAAAUAAAUAAAUAAAUAAAUGGACUUGAUAUAAUAGUAGACUCAAAAUGCGCCUUCUGAAUUUCGAUUUAAUGGAAAAAUAAACUUUGGGGUACAAUAAGUAACUAAUUUAAUACUAUAGUGCAAAUCCUUAAGAAAUAGAAAUGUUCCCGCAUAAUAAAGGCACAAAAUACGCACUUUUGCAGUUUCAGUUUUGAAGGACUUUGUUCGCACCAUUCAGGUCAACAAAAUUACCAAUUUAUUAAUUUGUCGGAUACCCACGAGUAGUCCAGUAACUUGCUCUCUUUGUUGUUAUUUAGUUAUAUGUAGAGGGCGGGACUCGAACUGAAAUGAACAAGGCGCGGCCAAGAACCCCCUUCACACGUGUAGACAAAGGGACCCAUCAACACAACCCAAAUAUGCACUCUAAAAGUUUUUCCGUGGACGCGACUUUACAACAAGACCUCGCAAAAUACUCAGGCCAAACGCAUAUUCAGCUUUGGGAAUGUGGAUAAAGGAUUUCGUCUGUUGUCCUGGGACAGCCUUUUAAGGAUACUUGAACACACUUAUCGUUAUUUCUCAGUAGUGGAAUAUAACUUUUUGUCUGGGAUUACUGGAAUAUGAGAAAAAAGAUCCUUACGAAAAGAAUCUACAAAUUUAAGGGCAGCGGUGACAUUUGGUGCAGUGAAGGGGCUUCUCAUGAAGUUAUUCUUUGGGCCGUAAUCUCCCCGGGUGUCCGUUUUCAGCAGCGCGGCAUAUGCCAGACAAAGCCUCUCUUUCAGACACGCAGGUCUGACCCCGGGACCGAUCGCAGAUCUGCUCUGGGCUCUUAUUCUCCUCCUCUUCCUCACACUGCUGCAAACAGUGGAGAUACUGUGUGGAAAUUACAGCACAAAGAUGACAUUACACCGCUAUCAAACUCUACAGGCCCUCUGAUGAACUAACACACAAGUGUGAAGGGAUGAACGGGGACGUGAACGUUCUGCUGCCACAUUUAAGUGCCUGAUUGGACGGCCUGCUGCAGUGUUAAGAAAAGAAACAGGAUGAUUUGCUUGACUCUCCCUCCCGCUCCUUCUGUGCCUCUCAUCCUCUUGCUAAUUUUGUGCCGUCUGACCUCUGAACAUCUGAACAUAAAUGCUGCCGCAUGGUGGCAGGGUCACAGGUCAUCAUUGAUUGGCCACUCAGCAGGAAGCCACUUUGACAUUUGAAGGCUGAAACUGCUUUUUGGCGCCUGGCUCAGUAAGAACAUUCAUCACUGGUGGGCAGGACACAGCGAGACACAGUAAACGGCCAAAGUUCACGGCAAAAGGAAUGCUGAACUCCUCGAGAGAAGCCAAAGAAACCCAGCAUCAGCAAAGAGGAGCCGAAGGAGUCUCAUCUCCUCUCUGCUCCUGUCCAACCCUCGAGGCUCAUAAACAAUAGGCCUCUCCACACAGGAAGUCUUCGCACCAGCCAGGGCCGAAUCCAAGCAACUCUAUUAUCAUUCCAGUUGCCACAGGGCGUUGAGCCAUGGCGAACUCCGACCCCUGGCCUUAUUUUCAAAGGUGAUCUUUGAUCCCUAUUGUGGCUCAGCGAUCCGCUCUGAAUCAAGACGUGCAGAGAGGGGAGCAGGUGAAUCGCUCUAUCUCUGCUGUUGUUUUUGAUGUUGAACAUGGUCUGAGGCGAUUUCUCAGCGUGUGCAGAGAGCAAGCAAAAUGCAGGGAUGGAAGUCAAGAUGUUUGGCUUAAGUUUGCGAUUUAGUUGUUGUUCGUUGCGUCUUGAUGUUCAAAUUGUUUAUUCAAAUUGUUUAUUCAAAAUCUACUUUGUUUUUGUCUUGUAUCGAUUAAAUUGUCAACGAUAAGGUUCAACAUGACUAUCUUUCGAAAUUUGUGUUUUACAAACAGCCCUUAGUCUAAACCUGACAGAUCUCAUGAGAAUUCAUCCGAGUUAGCUAAUUCGUUUAAAGUUAAUUGUACAAAAACAUACGAUUAUCAUAAAAACUCCAAAAACGAAAACCCACUCCUAACCCCAAUGUCACAGGGGCAAAGGCAAAUCAUACGAAGGGAUGGAAGUCAAGAUAUUUGGCUUAAGAUGUUGAAAAAAAGUCCACAGUUUGCUAUUUAGUUGUUGUUUGUUGCAUCUUGUUUAUUCAAAUAAUUUGUUCAAAGUCUACUUUGUUUUUGUCUUGAAUGGAUUAAAAUGUCGAUGAUAAGCUUCAGCAUCUAAAACAUGACUAUCUUUUUUAAAGUUUUGUUUAACAAACAGCCCUUAGUCUUAACCAGCCUGAUCUCGUGAGAAUUUGUCAGUAUUUUACGAGUUGGCUAAUUCAGUCAAAGUAAAUCGUACAAAAUCAUACGAUUAUCAUAAAAAAAAUAAAAAAAACGAAACCCCAUGAACCCCAACGUCACAGGGGCAAAGGCAAAUCAAGACGUUUGGCGUUUAGUUGUUGUUUGUUGCGUCUUGAUGUAAGAAUUGUUUAUUUAAACGGUUUGUUUAAAGUCUACUUUGUUUUUGUCUUGUAUCAAUUAAGAUGUCAACGAUAAGGUUCGGAAUUUAAAACAUGACUAUCUUUCGAAACUUUUGUUUUACAAACAGGACUUCUCAUGAAGAUUCGUAUGUAUUUUACGAGUUGGCUAAUUUGUAUGAUUUCGUACAAAGUGAAUCGUUCAAAAACAUUUAAUUAUCAUAAAAAAACAAUAACAAAAUCCCACCCUUAACCCCAACGUGCAACAUGAUCUCACGGAAAUUUGUGUUUAUUCGUGUUCAUGGCACGUAAUUCAGCUAUUUUCAUGCCUUUAGCACGAAUGUCUAUUUCAUGUCAUUUUAGCACAAAUUUAUAAAAUAUUUUUUUAAUGGCCGUGGCAGAACUUUCCUUUUCGUGUCAUUUUAUGUAGUUUUAAAAUGUUUUAGAAAAAAAAUGAGUUUGGGUUUAGGGGUGUCACGAUUCUCCAAAUCCUCGAUUUGAUUACAUUUUCGAUUCUAAAGUCGAGAUUCGAUUCAAUUCUCGAUUUAAUUUUUUUUUUUGAAAGGUUAGGGUUGGGUUAGGUUAGGGUUGCAUCUAGCAUGCUAUCUAUUUACUGGCUGUAGCUAGCUAAGUUAGAGGAGGUUGACUCGCAGCACUCAACACGUGUUUUUUUUCCGCUUGGCAAGCUGACCGGACGUAACAUGGGGGUGUGGCAGCAUCGACGAUUUCAUUUUUUAAUUGGGAGUUCGAGGUUGUGACUUAAUUUCGAUCGAUUUCGAUUUAAAAUCGAAAUUGUGACACCCUUAGUUAGGAUGUCUAAAAAUGUAACAGAAAGUGAUUCUAACCCCAGGGACAAUGGUAAGAAAAUAGGAAAAAACAAUAAGAAAUCAAUACAUUAAAUGACACGAAAAAGACAUUCGUGCCAUCGACAUGAAUAAAUUAUUACAUUUUUACUUGACUAUAUCGUGCCCUGCUGUGUGAUCAGUCUGGUAACGUCACAGAAGCAAUGGCCAAUCAUACAAAAAUGUACGAAUGUGGUCGUAUGAAUUCAUGCGAAUUAGCCACCUCGUAAAAUAUGUACGAACUGCCAUGAUAUAGCAUUGUCUAAACAUAAACAUGAUCUGUUUGGGCUGAAGUACCUCGCAUCCUCCAAUUAACAAUAAAAUAAACAGUACUUCAACUUGUUCAUUUAAUUCUCUACAUUACCGUUUUUGCUGCCUCACAUCUUUGAGUUUUUUCCUCUCACUCUGUCUGUGUAUAACUGUGUAUAAAAUCAAUUUGGGCUUGGGGCUGAUCUGCCUCACAAACUCCUUUGAUUUGGUUCCCACCACCGCCUAGCAGAGGACUACAGGCAGCCUUAAGUUCUUUAAGGGAUUUGUACUCCCCCUAGCUUUAGCUCACCGACACCAACACCGGCUCUAUCUGCCGCCCUCCGUGGGGCUCCUGAACAAUGCUAAAAGAAUUAGUAACUUCAGUUAGAUUCUGUUGGAAUACCGUCAAAGAAAAAUAAGCUUUCGGUGCAGACCUACCUGCAGGGCAAAUGGCCUUCAAAGGCCGUGAUCAAAAACUGUUUAUUGUAAAAUGAUGCAUAAACAUAAGGAACAUUCGGGAAUGUUUACUGCUUUCAGCUAAGCACUUAACUUUCCAUUCAAAGACAACCUUGUAAACUUGAAUCGAGGUUCAUUUAAAGGGAUAGUUCACCUUAAAAUGAAAAUUCUGUCAUCAUUUACUCAAUGUUGUUACAAACCUGUAUACGAGGGGUGUAACGAUUAACCGUGCAAAUGCGCGUUUUCUCAAUGAAUGAAUUUUAAGGAAUUAGGGUGAAAUCCCGGCACAUCCCAAAGCCAGGGGGCGCUCUUGUGCAGAAAAUUCCUUUGUGCCACAGAAGAAGUAGUAUUACGAAUGCUAUUCCAGGAAAUGUCUACAGGAAUAUGUAUAUCUCUGUUCUUCAAAUUGUUUCAGGUAUUUUCAUGAUAAUAAAGAAUGUUUUGAAUGAUUUUGUUUAACGAGUGUUGCUUUUUUAAAUGCACGUUAUAAACGACUCCGACUCAUAAUGAUUUUAGAUUGAUAAGGACUUCCUACUGACCAAAUGGCGUAGUAUACGCACAAGCUGUGCAUGAAACAAAAAAAUCGCAGCCUUGCGAUUCAGUAUCGAUUUCAGACAGGCAUUUUUAAUGGGAAACACGAUUAAUCGUUACAUCCCUACUGUAUACAUUUUUUUUUCUGAUGAACACGAAGGGAGAUAUUUUGAAUCCAAUCAUGGGCCCCAUUCACUUCCAUAUUACUUUUCCUUUCCUAAGUUACACACAUUCCUCAAAAUAUCUCCCUUCGUGUUCAUCAGAAAAAAAUCAUUUAUACUGUUUUGUAACAACAUGAGAGUGAAAAAAUAAAAAAGCCUAAAUUAAUGUCAACUCAGACUUUGAAACCAUUAAACUACUGUAGAUCUUUGACCUUAUUUUUGUUUUUGUUGAAAAGGUUUUUAUGUGUUUAUGUUAAAUUGUUGUUGAGUGAGUUACAGUCUUUCAGUUCCCCUUAAAGAAACAGACACACACUUUCACUCCAUCUGUUAUUUUUUAUUUUGGGGAAAGACAGAAGAGAGAGAAUGAUUGAUUCGCUUUCGCCAGACCCAGCUCAUCUUGUGUUAAACAGCGCCCCCUUUGAACAGUCACGGGCACUGCAGGUUAGAUUCAUACUCGUGCUUGCAAGCAUGCAUGUCUGGAGUUCAUUUAGGUGGAACAGGGUUAGUUAGCUCGCCUGGGCUUCAAAGCAACAUUUCCCCGUGAUUGAGGUCGACUGUAAUGAUGUUUUAUGAACAUGCUAGAGGGAAACUCCAGAGAAGAAAUGUUUUAGCACCUCUCGCUUUGAACCUUCGACUGUUUCUGCUCGUUCGCUCGACCCGUUUUAUCGCCUCGUAAAAAUGCAAGCGUGUUAGCGAAGUUAAGAUUUCCCCUUUUAAAUUAAAGUCAAAGUUAAAUUCACAUUUACCUGUUUAAUUGCUGCUACUUGGGUGUCAUUAACACCGAACAAAUGCAUUCUGGGGUCAUUCGGCAAAACGGUGCUAUUUGUGUCUCUCAUGAACACGACUUUAAGUAAAGAUAGCUGUUGCCAAAUGUAAAUGCAUCAAGAAAAUAAAUGAACUUGUGCAUCAACCCUGUUAUACUUUCCUGUUUCAAUAAAUAGCCUGUUGCAUGAAUAAAACAAACUGUUGUAAUGGCUCCAUUACCUUUUUAAGAAGC